GCUAAGCAGCCAACAAAGCCACGGCCACCUCGGCUGUGCUGGGCUCUGCCGUCAGGGCAGCUCACGGGCCACUCCGCAGAAGCAGGGCAUUCUGUCCUUUCUCUUUUUAAAUCCACGUCAUCAUCUGAUCAUCAUGGAAAUCAAUCUCUUCAAGUCACCACGCAAAGGCGUAUCCAUGGCAACCUCAAGAGGAAGGACACAGAAACGAUGCUCCAGCGGCUGCAGCAGGAGAAGAUAACCUCGGACCAACAGUAUGGAAGCUGCAGAGACGUAUUUCAACAAAACAAAAAAGUUCCUUACUGAGAGAUUCCAAGAUGAAACGGGAUGGACGCCUUAUAUGCAUGCAGUAAUUUCCCCACUAUUAGAAACGUGCAAGUCCAGACCAGCCACUGGGCAAGGAUAUUUUAGAUGGAACUCAACUGUCACAGGGGUAACCAGACUAGAACCACAGCAUGUUAGAUCUGAAAGGAAUCUUAGAGAUCUUCUAGUCCAGUCUGCUAUUUUAUAGGCCCGGACAGGGAAGCGAUCACUCAGAAGCAGCCCAGUUUGCUGUGGAGAGCAGGGCGCAGAGCACGGUCUCCUUCAAUCCAGUGAUCCACAUCCUUGCUGCUCAAAGUGUGUGUGGUCCACGGAUCAGCAGCUUCAGCGUCACCUGGGAACCAAAUCUGUAUUUUAUUGAACAAGAAACCCCCCCUCCUCCCCUCGGCCAGAUGCAUGCGCCACUAAAGUUCAAAAAGCACUGACCUACACUACACCCUUCCAAACCUUUAGUUUCGAUGCUGGAACUCCAUUUCCCAAACCGUUUCAUAUGUUAAACGGAAACAGUGCCCAAGAUUUUCCAUUCAAAUCUGGGAAACUCUCCAUACUGUUUACUUCCAGUGGGAAGUUCAAGGUAAAUAUCAUUAGCAUAUUGAAAACUGGCACAUUCUAUGGUAGAGAAAACCCUAACCAUGAAGUUUCUAAACAUAUUUGAGCACAAAACGCCUUUUGAAAACAGUUACCGUUAACUACUAUCCUUAACGUCCCGUGGCUUGGGCUUUGGCAGUCAGUCAGGUAAAGUGUCAGUCUCCACCUCAGAGCUCCUCGACUCUCAGGACCUUAAGCACAUGCAUUCGUAACUCGUCAGUAUGGGCGUGCUGCUCUGCUCACUGUAAAAAUGAAGGCAAGUUUCCACGUGACCGCCUCUUUAACAACAGCGGAGUUCCUCGUCUGAGUGAUUUCGUUGGGAGGAUGCGCAAGACGACUUCCCAAGGGUCAUCCUUCCAGCAACGAAGUUAACAUCAGUCCAGGUCGGUGAUUCAUGAUCAGUCUCGGGGCAGCUUGAUGGCUGAUGGAGGCUUAGAGUCUGCCUUCAACGCAGCCGUCACUGCAGAAAUCCAGGCUCGCGAGCUGACAGAGAUGUGGACAGGAGCACCACCGAUUUGCUGAGGUGUCCUGACUGGCUAUUGAAGCCAAAAAAGCAGCACAGAAGGAAAAAGAAAUUGAUGAACAGGAAGCGAAUGCCUCGACAUUUCACAGAAGAUCUUAUUAGUACAGGAAUCUAUGAAUCUUCUGGAAAACAGUGUUUGCCUCUGGUUCAACUCAUACAACAGCUUCUUAGAAACAUCGCUUCUCAGUCGCCAGAUUGAAAGGUGUUGCCCGUCGGGUAUCGUCACGUCUAGACUGAGCAGCACAGUCGUGGAAGAUCUGCGCCACCGCAUUUGCUGCUGCGUUUUCAGCACCUACUUCUCAGUAAACCUCAUCCAGGAGGACGUGUUGGUCAGACUUCAGGUAUUUCUACUUAAAAGCGAAAGUCAGUACGGAGUCACACGAGCCUCUCCUAACAGCAGCUGUCCCUAGAAGUACGGGUCAUCUGAAGACACCACUGCCAGCCCCACCAUGGCCGCCCUCCGUGUGCUCACUGCCACGGCCCCGAGGAUUUGCACACACUUGACAGUGCAGUAACACCGAGCUACUGAUGUAGGUGCAGAAACCACACUUGGAGGGAGAGCUGCAGAUUCCCCAGCGCCCAGGGGGACCUGCCCCCAAGGCCCACCCAGCCCCCCGAUGUCCAUGACUUCCAUGUGGACCGGCCUCUUGAGGAGGCGCUGGUGAACCCGGAGCUGAUUCACCCCUUCAUCCCAGAGGGCAGAGAUGCUGGGCCAGGCCCCGCCUGUGUGCCUCCAACCCUGGACAACUCAGGUCUCCUGUUCCUCUGCUCCAGCCUCAUUCAGCCACAGCGGGCCUACUCCAUGCCUGGUCCUGUCCCCAGCCAGGCGAUGAGGUCACCCAGUUCCCUGUGCGGUCGGCCCCCCGCCGGGUGCUGCUGACGGAUCCAUCAGGAGGAGGCAGCGCGUCCCGCUGCCGCGCCCGCCAUGGUGCUGGUUCUCUGGCGGCUGCCUUCCUGGUCAGGGGUGGUCCUGGGGGAGCCCUGAGUGUACGGUGUCCUCAUGUCGGAAACCCCAGUGGGAAGGAAAGUCUGGUUUGAUUUUGUUCUCAGAGACAUUAAACACUAGUUCAAUUUUGAGAUUCA
Molecule: long non-coding RNA, 2512 nt
Organism: Camelus dromedarius (Arabian camel)
Lineage: Eukaryota; Metazoa; Chordata; Mammalia; Artiodactyla; Camelidae
Exons: 8
Source: RefSeq, a predicted model, not a curated record